AUUGAACGCUGGCGGCAUGCCUUACACAUGCAAGUCGAACGGUAACAGGUCUUCGGAUGCUGACGAGUGGCGAACGGGUGAGUAAUACAUCGGAACGUGCCCGAUCGUGGGGGAUAACGAGGCGAAAGCUUUGCUAGUACCGCAUACGAUCUACGGAUGAAAGCGGGGGAUCUUCGGACCUCGCGCGGACGGAGCGGCCGAUGGCAGAUUAGGUAGUUGGUGGGAUAAAAGCUUACCAAGCCGACGAUCUGUAGCUGGUCUGAGAGGAUGAUCAGCCACACUGGGACUGAGACACGGCCCAGACUCCUACGGGAGGCAGCAGUGGGGAAUUUUGGACAAUGGGCGAAAGCCUGAUCCAGCCAUGCCGCGUGCAGGAUGAAGGCCUUUGGGUUGUAAACUGCUUUUGUACGGAACGAAAAGCCUCUUUCUAAUAAAGAGGGGUCAUGACGGUACCGUAAGAAUAAGCACCGGCUAACUACGUG
Molecule: ribosomal RNA, 482 nt
Filed under: uncultured bacterium
Lineage: Bacteria
Description: partial 16S ribosomal RNA
Rfam family: Bacterial small subunit ribosomal RNA
Source: RNAcentral